Molecule: unclassified non-coding RNA, 329 nt
Filed under: soil metagenome
Description: partial contains 5.8S ribosomal RNA, internal transcribed spacer 2, and large subunit ribosomal RNA
Rfam family: 5.8S ribosomal RNA (bases 1-120)
Source: RNAcentral
GAUGAAGAACGUAGUGAAAUGCGAUAAGUAGUGUGAAUUGCAGAAUUCAGUGAAUCAUCGAAUCUUUGAACGCACAUUGCGCCCCUUGGUAUCCCGAGGGGCAUGCCUGUUCGAGCGUCAUUUCACCACUCAAGCCUGGCUUGGUGUUGGGCGACGUCCUCUUUGGGGACGCGCCUCGAAACGCUCGGCUGCGUGGCACCGGCUUUAAGCGUAGCAGAAUCUUUCGCUUUGGAAGUCGGGGCCCCGUCUGCCGGAAGACCUGCUCGCAAGGUUGACCUCGGAUCAGGCAGGGAUACCCGCUGAACUUAAGCAUAUCAAUAAGCGGAGGA